AAGAGACAGCAGCCGCCACGGUAAUACGUAGGUGGCAAGCGUUGUCCGGAAUUAUUGGGCGUAAAGGGCUCGCAGGCGGUUUCUUAAGUCUGAUGUGAAAGCCCCCGGCUCAACCGGGGAGGGUCAUUGGAAACUGGGAAACUUGAGUGCAGAAGAGGAGAGUGGGAUUCCACGUGUAGCGGUGAAAUGCGUAGAGAUGUGGAGGAACACCAGUGGCGAAGGCGACUCUCUGGUCUGUAACUGACGCUGAGGAGCGAAAGCGUGGGGAGCGAACAGGAUUAGAUACCCCUGUAGUCCCUGUCUCUUAUAC
This 310-nucleotide ribosomal RNA is filed under the name uncultured bacterium. RNAcentral describes it as "partial 16S ribosomal RNA". It matches the Rfam family "Bacterial small subunit ribosomal RNA", at positions 503 to 807 of the family's 1533-position model. The record is from RNAcentral.